GGACUUAGUUCAGACCUCUUAAAUCGGGUAAGUGUGUACGUAAUGUUGUCAACGAUAAACUAUAAAUUAUAACUUAUAACUUGUAUACAGCUGCCACUGUCAUUAUUUUUAAAAGAAUUGUAUGGUUUCAAAACUUUAGCGUUAUUUAGUAUUAUAAUCAUUGUAACGAAACAAUUUAGAGAUAUAUAGGUUGACAUAGUUGAAACCGAAAGCAAAUUUUAAAUUUAACGAUUUCCAUUUCUUAUUUACAUUCUUGUAAUUGAAUAACAAUAUAAUUAUCAUUUUUUAAGUAAACAAUUGUCAUACAUUUAUCCGUGAUCAGCGGAAGUGUGUAAAUAAAAGUAUCUAUCAUUGUUCAUGUUCACUCAUGUUGUUACCUAGCCGUAUCAAUAUAUGAAUUAAAUGCACUGUGUAAAAAGUGCGAAUCGAUAAAGUUUAUCUAGACUAUUAGCCGGAUUUGGAAAAGGUUAGUUGAAUUGAUUAUAUUACAAGGAAAAUGUCAAGAUCCUUAUCUUUGCCAUUGAAAAUAGUCUUAACUAUUACUCGACCAAUCUAAAACAGUCUUAACCUGUUAUUGACCUGUACCUAACCAAUACCCAAACGAACAUGUUUUCAGACUGAACCAUACUCGACUCGUUUAAAGCAUUCUCAACAAAGGAGAGAUCUUUUCGACCUCACUUUGUGUCCAGAGUCGUCCGUCAUCGUCCGUCGUCGGUCGUCGUCGUUGUCCGUUAACUUUUACAAAAAUCUUCUCCUCUGAAACUACUGGGCCAAAUAGAACCAAAUUUUGCCUAAACCAUCCUUAUUUAGUUUUAAAAAUGUAUCCAAUGACCCCGCCCAUCAACCAAGAUGGCUGCCAUGGCUGAACAAAAAAUUGGGUUAAAAUGCAGUGUUUGGCUUCAAGCUUUGACACUAAAUAAAGCCUUAAGUGCAAAUCUGACAAGAAACAAUGUUAAUCAGAUCAAGUUCCAUCUUCCCUUUUUUUAUUAUCUUGAAUAUUAUAAUUGAUAGAGAUAAACUGUUAACAGCAAUAUUUUCGGCUAAAUAGGAUCUACAAAUAAGACAAAAGUUCAAAAUUGUCAAUUGACACCUUUAAGAGUUAUUGUCCUUUAAAGUCAACUUUUUUUUACAAAAUCUGCUUCUCUGAAACUACUUUGCCAAACUGAACUAAACUUGGCCUUAAUCUAAUCAUACUUAGUGUGUAUAAUUUAUGAAAUGUGUCCGAUGACCCGACACAUCAAGCAAGAUGGCCACCAUGACUAAAUCAAAACACCAAAGGCGCUGUAGGCAGUUAGGUAAAAAAAGUAGAGGCAAACUUGGCAGAAGUUAAGAAGAAUAUUGUGGAAAAAUUGGUCAAAAUAUUUAUCUCUGCUAUUUCUCAAGUAUUGAAUAAUGUUUGUACCCUAAACAUGCUAAAGUUUUCACUAUCCAAUCCUGCCACUUUCAAAAUUGUCCAAUUAUUUUUUUAAAUUUUCAAUAUCUGUGAUUAUACACAUACUGUAUGUACACUGUCCCAUGUAAGGGGAGAGUUUGUGCAUGUCCAUAUUGAGGACCUAGUAAUUUGGUAAUUGUAGCUGUAUAUCAUAUCCAUUUUUCAUAAUUGUUUUGUACAUCAAUCAGGUUGCUUUAGUUUUAUUGUUUUACAUUUGUAAUUUACUGGUCUUUUUAAGCUUAAUAUGCAGUCUACAUGUAGGUUUUGCUAAUAAUUACAAGCUGCAUGGAGGAAUAUUCUUUCAGAAUAAUAAUUUCAAUAAUGGGGUCCAGCAGUAGUGUAUGGUUUAAUUUAACUAUAUUCUAGAGUAUGAGUAUGCCAUAUAAGCAGUUUAAGUUGAAUCAGCUGGUGCACCUACAUUGUAUGCACGAUCAUCAAAUCAUAGCUGAAACUAUCUGAAGUGGUGUAAUUUUCUUGUAAGUUAUAUUACAAUAAAUGCUGAUAUUGUUAUAAUGGCCUAGCAAUGAUACAACAUUUUUUGAAGCCUGUAAGGUUGCCUAACUAUAACUUCUUACUUUCUUCAUUUGAAUUUUGUUGGAUAUAUACAUAUAUAUAGUUGUCUCAUAAUGAUGCAUUGGCUAUCAUUCCACAUCUUCUUAUCUUUAUAAUAAUUGUACAUGUCUUAUCUAUAAUCAGCUCUUAAUGCAGAGACAUGUUUUGCCUAUUUGUUAUCUUGAUAAUGCAAAUAAUACAAUUAAAAUAGAAAUGCAUUACCCGGCCAUGUCCACUUGUAUUUUUUGUCUAUCUGAUGAGUUAAGCCUUCUCAACUGAUUUUUAUAGUUCGUUCUUAUGUUGUACUGUUAUACCACUGUCCCAGGUUAGGGGGAGGGUUUGGAUCCCGCUAACAUGUUUAACCCCGCCACAUUAUUUGUGUAUGUGCCUGUCCCAAGGCAGGCGCCUGUAAUUCAGUGGUUGUCGUUUGUUUAUAUGUUACAUAUUUGUUUUUCAUUCAUUUUUUUUACAUAAAUAAGGCUGUUAGUUUUCUCGUUUGAAUUGCUUUACAUUGUCUUAUCGAGGCCUUUUAUAGCUGACUAUGCGGUAUGGGCUUUGCUCAUUGUUGAAGGCCGUACGGUGACCUAUAGUUUGUAUAAAUUUGGUCUUUUGUGGAUAGUUGUCUCAUUGGCAAUCAUACAAAAUCUUCUUUUUUAUAUUAACAUGUAAAAUAUAUUCAAAGACAAUGAUCCAUGACUGAUUGCACAGGGCUGGACAAUCCUUAUGGAAAUAAGAUGUGCUAACACUUAUACAACUGCUUACCAAUGCAAAUGCCAUUAAGUUUUCAUAAGUUGUCCCCUUUAAACAAACCUUAACACAUAUCUAAUUUCUAAGACAAUCAAUGAACAAUAAUGAGAGGGUGGGGUUAUUUAAUAUCCAUGGAAAUGAAACUUUUAAAUACCAAUAUGUUUGCAUACCAAAUGGCUUUGACUUAAGAUAACUGAUAUCUUAAACUGACAUAAUUAUAAUAAUAACAAACUAAUUCAAGUAAACUAGUUAAAAGUUCAAAGUCAAUAGAUCAUGCAUAUGACUGAGGGGUAAGGACCAAAUAUCCUCUAUGUAAGAUGUACUAAUGCUUCUUCACCUGCAUGGCAAUCAUCAUUGACUUACGACGAUUGGUUUCCCUCAUUAUAAAAUUAUCAAAAGCUAAAUAAAAUUUCAAAGUAACAUAAGCUUCCAAGUAAAAAGAGAAUAAUUGAGGGGGCAGGGCCAAAUAUCCUCAAUAGAAAUUGAAAGUGACAAGUUUUAUACAACUGCACACCAAAAUAUCAUUGACCGUUCACUAGUGGUUCCCCAAUAACUGACCUAAUCAAAAACUAAUACAUGUAAACUAAGUUUCAGAGUCAAUAGACAAUGAUAAAGGGAGUGGGGCUAAAUAUUCUGGUAAUGAGAUAUACAGGUCUAUGCUAACACAACUGGUUUCCAAAUAUCAAAGACCUCCCAUAAACUAGACCUAAUCACAAAAUCACAAACUACAUUUUUGUAAUACAUUGUUGAUGCUGCCAAAACAACACAUCUUUAUAUAUAUAUGCCUGUCUUUUUGACUCUGUCAUCUUUGGCAAGACAAAAAUUCCAACAAAUUUAAUACAAAUAUUUUGUCCAUCUUUUUUUUAAUAUUUCUAUAUUCUUAAUUUCUUAAAUCAAUUAAUGCUGCAUUUACACAUAAUUUUAUAUCAAUUUGAAUAUUUAACAUGUUUAAUGUCUACUUCAAUACACGUCAAAAUCACUUCACUGUCCAAAUGAGCUAAAUUUUUAAGUCAAUUAAUAAUAUUCAUUUGUUGUAACUGCUGGCAAGUUUAUAAAUAAUUCCCGUGAGAAAGCUGAAUCAAAACUUGUUGUACUAGUCGACAUGAUUACCCUGGCAUAAACAAUCUUCAAAAUUGAUCAUAUAUGUAGAUGAACUGGUAGGUAUAUGUAAAUGUAAGUAUCAACAGGUCUUCAAUGCAGCGAGAAAUUCCCGCACCCGGAGGCGUCCUUCAGCUGGCCCCUAAACAAAUAAAUAUACUAGUUCAGUGAUAAGUAACGCCAUACUAACAAAAUUGUACACAAGAAACUAAAAUUAAAAAUAAUACAAGACUAACAAAGGCCAGAGGCUCCUGACUUGGGACAGGCGACAAAAAUGCGGCGAGAGGUAAACAUGUUUAUGAUAUCUCAACCCUCCUCCUAUACCUCUAGCCAAUGUAGAAUAGUAAACGCAUAACAAUACGCACAUUAAAAUUCAGUUCAAGAGAGGUCCGAGUCUGAUGUCAAAAGAUGUAACCAAAGAAAAUUAACAAAAUGACAAUAAUACAUAAAUAACAACAAACUACUAGCAUGCUGUUAACUGACAUGCCAGCUCCAGACUUCAUUUAAACUGAUUGAAAGAUUAUGUCUUCAUCAUAUGAAUAUCAGGCACAAUCCUACCCGUUAGGGGUUUAGUAUCAUACCAUCAUAACAUAUAUGAGAAGAUAUACCUAUAUGGUACCAAAUUGGGUUUCCCCUUGGGCACUUAUUUUUUCGUCACCUCUUUCGCCAAAACAACAUAUUUUUCGCCACUUUGUUACUUUUUUUGCCAAGUAACAUAAAUAUAUCUUUCGUUUAAAUUUUUUGUUCUAUCCUAUCCCACUCCUAAACCGUUAGUUUUUCCGUUUGAAUGGUUUUGAACUAGUUAUUUUAGGGGCCCUUCAUAGCUUGCUGUUCGGUAUGAGCCAAGGCCCCGUGUUGAAGUCCUACCUUGGCCUAUAAUGAUAUACCUUUAUUAUGUUAUUUGGAUGGAGAGUUGUCUCAUCGGCAAUUAUACCACAUCUUCCUUUAUCUAUCAUAUGGUCCGACCAUACGCUACAGUUUGACCAUAAGAAAAUACGCAUAUGGUCGUGACCAUACGCGUAUGGUCCUAUUACUCAUAUGGUCAGGAACAUAAGCAUAGGCAAUUUGAAUUAAGACGUACAUACAUAUUUUGUAUAAGAUGAGGUGUAUGUUCUUAAAAGAGUAUGCAUCUUAGAUAUUUCAUGAUCUAUUUGUCUUGUUUCUUGUAUUAUUUAUUUUAUUGUUUAAGAAAUGGAAACCGAAAAUGACUAAAUGCUACAACUGUGAGGAGGAGUCUGAUUGUACAAUAUAUAAUAAUUUGUCAUACAGCAACUAAACACCAUAACUUCCUUUCAGUAAAAGAAAAGGGUAUAAAAAGUAGAAACUAUGAAUAUUAAUCAAGACAUUACAUGUUGUUCCUGGUGUCGUUCGAAGCAC
This 5206-nucleotide long non-coding RNA is filed under the name Mytilus galloprovincialis (Mediterranean mussel). The record is from RNAcentral. Lineage: Eukaryota; Metazoa; Mollusca; Bivalvia; Mytilida; Mytilidae.